RNAcentral lists this ribosomal RNA (938 nucleotides) under Fructilactobacillus sanfranciscensis. RNAcentral's name for it is "bacterial SSU rRNA". It matches the Rfam family "Bacterial small subunit ribosomal RNA", at positions 74 to 998 of the family's 1533-position model. Lineage: Bacteria; Bacillati; Bacillota; Bacilli; Lactobacillales; Lactobacillaceae. The record is from RNAcentral.
UGAUUUUGGAUCCGACUGAGUGGCGAACUGGUGAGUAACACGUGGGUAACCUGCCCAGAAGAAGGGGAUAACACCUGGAAACAGAUGCUAAUACCGUAUAACAACAAGAACCACAUGGUUCUUGUUUGAAAGCUGGCCUUUGUGCUAGUGCUUCUGGAUGGACCCGCGGCGUAUUAGCUAGUUGGUGAGAUAAUAGCUCACCAAGGCAAUGAUACGUAGCAGACCUGAGAGGGUAAUCUGCCACAAUGGGACUGAGACACGGCCCAUACUCCUACGGGAGGCAGCAGUAGGGAAUCUUCCACAAUGGACGAAAGUCUGAUGGAGCAACGCCGCGUGAGUGAAGAAGGGUUUCGGCUCGUAAAACUCUGUUGUUAGAGAAGAACAGCCGUGAGAGCAACUGCUCACGGUAUGACGGUAUCUAACCAGAAAGUCACGGCUAACUACGUGCCAGCAGCCGCGGUAAUACGUAGGUGGCAAACGUUGUCCGGAUUUAUUGGGCGUAAAGGGAGCGCAGGCGGUUUAUUAAGUCUGAUGUGAAAGCCUUCGGCUUAACCGGAGAAGUGCAUCGGAAACUGAUAAACUUGAGUGCAGAAAAGGAUAGUGGAACUUCAUGUGUAGCGGUGAAAUGCGUAGAUAUAUGAAGGAACACCAGUGGCGAAGGCGGCUAUCUGGUCUGUAACUGACGCUGAGGCUCGAAAGCAUGGGUAGCAAACAGGAUUAGAUACCCUGGUAGUCCAUGCCGUAAACGAUGAAUGCUAGGUGUUGGAAGGUUUCCGCCUUUCAGUGCCGCAGCUAACGCAUUAAGCAUUCCGCCUGGGGAGUACGACCGCAAGGUUGAAACUCAAAGGAAUUGACGGGGACCCGCACAAGCGGUGGAGCAUGUGGUUUAAUUCGAUGCUACGCGAAGAACUUACCAGGACUUGACAUCUUCUGCCAUC